AGCAGUCGCCGCGGUAACACGGAGGGGGCUAGCGUUGUUCGGAAUUACUGGGCGUAAAGCGCACGUAGGCGGCUUGGUAAGUUAGAGGUGAAAGCCUGGAGCUCAACUCCAGAAUUGCCUUUAAGACUGCCGAGCUAGCAGGUGAGAGAGGUAAGUGGAAUUCCGAGUGUAGAGGUGAAAUUCGUAGAUAUUCGGAAGAACACCAGUGGCGAAGGCGGCUUACUGGCUCAUACUGGACGCUGAGGUGCGAAAGCGUGGGGAGCAAACAGGAUUAGAUACCCGUGUAGUCCCUGUCUCUUAUAC
This 303-nucleotide ribosomal RNA is filed under the name uncultured bacterium. RNAcentral describes it as "partial 16S ribosomal RNA". It matches the Rfam family "Bacterial small subunit ribosomal RNA", at positions 507 to 807 of the family's 1533-position model. The record is from RNAcentral.